RNAcentral lists this transfer-messenger RNA (366 nucleotides) under Paraconexibacter algicola. Its description in RNAcentral is "Standard tmRNA". It matches the Rfam family "transfer-messenger RNA". Rfam says of the family: Bacterial tmRNA, also known as 10Sa RNA or SsrA, is named for its dual tRNA and mRNA-like properties. Its role is to liberate the mRNA from a stalled ribosome. The record is from RNAcentral. RNAcentral also lists the same sequence under 1 other name. Lineage: Bacteria; Bacillati; Actinomycetota; Thermoleophilia; Solirubrobacterales; Paraconexibacteraceae.
GGGGACGACAGGCUUCGACGUGGUCGGUUUCGGGCGGGUGGUUGCGAGUCGAGGUUCCGGGUGGCCUCGUAAAACCCCGGAAAAACCAUACGUGCGGACUCUCACGAGUACGCCCUCGCCGCCUAGCACACCGCUAGAGCCGUGAGGUCUCGGCCCCUGCCUGUCGGCCGCGGGGAUCGCCGGGAUCAGAUGCCGACUCACCCGGGGAGGUCCGCUUCCGCCGAACCGGGGACAUCUUCAGGGAGCUGGUCCUGAGCAACCCGGCCGGCAAGGCGAGCCCAGGAUGAGAUCAGAGUGCCGGCUACGCUCGUAGACGCUGCUCGUCCGCGGUCGCGGACGCGGGUUCGAUUCCCGCCGUCUCCACUG